This 492-nucleotide ribosomal RNA is filed under the name uncultured bacterium. RNAcentral's name for it is "bacterial SSU rRNA". It matches the Rfam family "Bacterial small subunit ribosomal RNA", at positions 1 to 518 of the family's 1533-position model. The record is from RNAcentral.
GUUGAUCAGUGGACUCAGGACGAACGCUGGCGGCGUGCCUAACACAUGCAAGUCGAGCGAGGAGAUUCCUUCGGGAUGAUCCUAGCGGCGGACGGGUGAGUAACACGUGGGCAACCUGCCUCAUAGAGAGGAAUAGCCUUCCGAAAGGGAGAUUAAUACCUCAUAACAUUGCAGUUUCGCAUGGAACAGCAAUUAAAGGAGCAAUCCGCUAUGAGAUGGGCCCGCGGCGCAUUAGCUAGUUGGUGAGGUAACGGCUCACCAAGGCGACGAUGCGUAGCCGACCUGAGAGGGUGAUCGGCCACAUUGGGACUGAGACACGGCCCAGACUCCUACGGGAGGCAGCAGUGGGGAAUAUUGCACAAUGGGGGAAACCCUGAUGCAGCCAACGCCGCGUGAGUGAUGACGGCCUUCGGGUUGUAAAGCUCUGUCUUCAGGGACGAUAAUGACGGUACCUGAGGAGGAAGCCACGGCUAACUGCGUGCCAGCAGCGGC